This 864-nucleotide ribosomal RNA is filed under the name uncultured bacterium. Its description in RNAcentral is "bacterial SSU rRNA". It matches the Rfam family "Bacterial small subunit ribosomal RNA", at positions 94 to 965 of the family's 1533-position model. The record is from RNAcentral.
AGUGGCGCACGGGUGCGUAACACGUAUGCAACCUACCUUAUAGACGGGGAUAGCCCGAAGAAAUUCGGAUUAACACCGCAUAAAAACACAGCUUGGCAUCAAGCAAUGUUCAAAUAUUUAUAGGAUGAAGAUGGGCAUGCGUGUCAUUAGCUAGUUGGUAAGGUAACGGCUUACCAAGGCUACGAUGACUAGGGGAUCUGAGAGGAUGACCCCCCACACUGGUACUGAGACACGGACCAGACUCCUACGGGAGGCAGCAGUAAGGAAUAUUGGUCAAUGGAGGCAACUCUGAACCAGCCAUGCCGCGUGCAGGAAGACUGCCUUAUGGGUUGUAAACUGCUUUUAUACGGGAAUAAACCUUAAUUCGUGAAUUAAGCUGAAUGUACCGUAAGAAUAAGGAUCGGCUAACUCCGUGCCAGCAGCCGCGGUAAUACGGAGGAUCCAAGCGUUAUCCGGAUUUAUUGGGUUUAAAGGGAGCGUAGGCGGCUUGUUAAGUCAGGGGUGAAAGACGGUGGCUCAACCAUCGCAGUGCCUUUGAUACUGACGAGCUUGAAUAUAGUUGAGGUAGGCGGAAUGUGACAAGUAGCGGUGAAAUGCAUAGAUAUGUCACAGAACACCGAUUGCGAAGGCAGCUUACUAAGCUAUUAUUGACGCUGAGGCUCGAAAGCGUGGGGAUCAAACAGGAUUAGAUACCCUGGUAGUCCACGCCCUAAACGAUGAUAACUCGAUGUUGGCGAUAUACAGUCAGCGUCCAAGCGAAAGCGUUAAGUUAUCCACCUGGGGAGUACGCCCGCAAGGGUGAAACUCAAAGGAAUGANGGGGCCCGCACAGCGAGAGCAUGUGGUUUAAUCGAUGAUACGCGAG